GUGACUCCUACGGGAGGCAGCAGUGGGGAAUAUUGCACAAUGGGGGAAACCCUGAUGCAGCCAUGCCGCGUGUGUGAAGAAGGCCUUCGGGUUGUAAAGCACUUUCAGUAGGGAGGAAGGUAGUGUAGUUAACACCUGCAUUAUUUGACGUUACCUACAGAAGAAGCACCGGCUAACUCCGUGCCAGCAGCCGCGGUAAUACGGAGGGUGCGAGCGUUAAUCGGAAUUACUGGGCGUAAAGCGCAUGCAGGCGGCCUGUUAAGUCAGAUGUGAAAGCCCCGGGGCUUAACCUCGGAAUUGCAUUUGAAACUGGCAGGCUAGAGUCUUGUAGAGGGGGUAGAAUUUCAGGUGUAGCGGUGAAAUGCGUAGAGAUCUGAAGGAAUACCAGUGGCGAAGGCGGCCCCCUGGACAAAGACUGACGCUCAGAUGCGAAAGCGUGGGGAGCAAACAGGAUUAGAUACCCUGGUAG
This 469-nucleotide ribosomal RNA is filed under the name uncultured bacterium. RNAcentral describes it as "bacterial SSU rRNA". It matches the Rfam family "Bacterial small subunit ribosomal RNA", at positions 332 to 793 of the family's 1533-position model. The record is from RNAcentral.